AUGCAUUGGUACACAUGGUGGAAACUUUGUUAUCCAAAAAGAGAGGGAGGUAUGGGAUUCAGGGAUUUAUACUCCUUUAAUUUGGCAAUAUUGUCAAAACAGUGAUGGAGGCUUAUUACCAAUCUGGAUUCCUUAUGUGCAAAAGUACUGAAGGGUAAGUACUUUCCCCAUGUGAGUCUACUUGAAGCUACAUUGAAGAAUGGAUCAACUUUUACAUGGAAAACUAUUAUGAAGGGACUUGAAACCUUUAAACUGGGUUAUAUUUGGAGGAUAGGAACAUGAGAGAAUGUGAACAGAUGGAAUGAUCCGUGGAUCCCAUCUAGCCCGGAUAGGAGGAUUAUAUCAAGUCGAAGCCAAAUUGUCCUGUCCAUGGUAAGCGAUCUUAUCGACCCCACGACUGACACGUGGGAUGAGGACUUGGUGCGCGCUAUCUUUAACCCUGUGGAUGUAAGACGGAUCCUGCAAAUACCGCUGAAUGUUGGCGCUUUUGAUGAUUUCAUAGUCUGGAAUCUGGACAGCAAAGGUUGCUUCUCGGUCAGAUCCGCGUAUAAGGUGCAGUGGAUUCGAUCUUUCCAGGCCCAGGCAAAUGUAAUGGCACGUCCGGGUGGCUCGAGUACACCGGAAGUUUGGAGCAUGAUGUGGAAACUAAAUGUCCCACGUAAAGUACAUAUCUUUUGCUGGCGUGUUCUCCAUGGAAUUCUGCCGCUAAAAUCAAUACUCACUAAUCGGCAUAUCGGUACAGAUGGAGCUUGCCCAAUAUGUCAUCAGGAUGCAGAGGAUAUACUCCACUUGUUACUUGACUGUUAUCACGCCAAGGAGUUGUGGAAAAAUCUAGGCAUCGCAGAAAUUGUGGAGGAGGUCAAACGUAUUGAUAGGCUAGGCUCAGUCAUGAUGGAACACCUACUAUUACAGCCCGAUGUGCAAUUGACAAUUAAACCAACUCUGAACAUCAAACAAGUGCUACUUGUGGGUGCCUGGUAUCUUUGGUGGAUUAGGCGUCACCUCACUCAUGAUAGUACUCCACCACCACCUAUGAGAUGGCAUAUGUCAGUACUAGCAAUCGCUAAUAAUUAUCACGAGGCCAAUACCAAAGAAAAAGCAAAUAGGGAACAAAGAUGGUGUAAACUAGAAUCCAAAUUUGUGAAGGUAAAUGUGGAUGCUGCUUUCUUUGUUGAUGAAGGACUGGGAGCUACAACCGCUGUAAUUAGGGAUGCUAAUGGGAAUUUCCUAGCUGCACAGUGCAGGUUGAUACGUCUCCAACGUAUGUAUAAUAUUUGA
RNAcentral lists this ribosomal RNA (1278 nucleotides) under Triticum aestivum (bread wheat). RNAcentral's name for it is "partial small subunit ribosomal RNA". Lineage: Eukaryota; Viridiplantae; Streptophyta; Magnoliopsida; Poales; Poaceae. The record is from RNAcentral.